Long non-coding RNA from Asterias rubens (European starfish), 415 nucleotides. RefSeq lists it as uncharacterized. The transcript has 5 exons. NCBI's taxonomy places the organism in Eukaryota, Metazoa, Echinodermata, Asteroidea, Forcipulatida, Asteriidae. The record is from RefSeq and is a predicted model, not a curated record.
CAAGUGAUUCCCGUUAUCUUUUCUCCUAAAAAGUAUGUGACAUUUUAUGGCAGAAUAAGUCGACAAAACCUCCGCAAAAGAGUUGAGAUGGCUGCCUAUCCUCUUGAGUCUGUUGUUUGGCUGAGAUAGUAUAAUUUGGAUAAAUUACAGUCAAGCUUAGCAUCUCCAAAGACAUCUACCCUGUCAACAAAAGAUGUCCAAGACCAUGUACCAGCGGAUGAGAAAGCUGUACUCUCCAGUAUAAGGCUUAGCAUCUGCAAAGACAUGUACCCGUCAACAAGUAGAUGUCCAAGACAAACCUCUGAUAAAGGAGCUGCACCCUCAAUUAAAAGAAGUUCCUACAACCAAGUAUGGAGGGAAUCAACCCUACUGACAUCUUGAAAGGCUGCAUGGUACAAAGGAAGGCAACGCGUAU